UACGAAGGGGGCUAGCGUUGCUCGGAAUCAUUGGGCGUAAAGCGCACGUAGGCGGUCUGUUAUGUCGGUGGUGAAAGCCCCGGGCUUAACCUGGGAAUGGCCAUGGAAACUGGCGAACUGGAGUGUGGCAGAGGGGGGUGGAAUUCCGCGUGUAGCAGUGAAAUGCGUAGAGAUGCGGAGGAACACCGAUGGCGAAGGCAGCCCCCUGGGCUAACACUGACGCUCAGGCACGAAAGCGUGGGGAGCAAACAGG
RNAcentral lists this ribosomal RNA (253 nucleotides) under uncultured bacterium. Its description in RNAcentral is "partial 16S ribosomal RNA". It matches the Rfam family "Bacterial small subunit ribosomal RNA", at positions 524 to 776 of the family's 1533-position model. The record is from RNAcentral.